Molecule: ribosomal RNA, 236 nt
Filed under: uncultured bacterium
Lineage: Bacteria
Description: partial 16S ribosomal RNA
Rfam family: Bacterial small subunit ribosomal RNA
Source: RNAcentral
UACGUAGGGUGCAAGCGUUAAUCGGAAUUACUGGGCGUAAAGCGUGCGCAGGCGGUUAUGUAAGACAGUUGUGAAAUCCCCGGGCUCAACCUGGGAACUGCAUCUGUGACUGCAUAGCUAGAGUACGGUAGAGGGGGAUGGAAUUCCGCGUGUAGCAGUGAAAUGCGUAGAUAUGCGGAGGAACACCGAUGGCGAAGGCAACUCCCCUGGACCUGUACUGACGCUCAUGACACGAA